RNAcentral lists this ribosomal RNA (492 nucleotides) under uncultured bacterium. RNAcentral's name for it is "partial 16S ribosomal RNA". It matches the Rfam family "Bacterial small subunit ribosomal RNA", at positions 29 to 507 of the family's 1533-position model. The record is from RNAcentral.
AGUGAACGCUGGCGGUAGGCCUAACACAUGCAAGUCGAACGGCAGCACAGUAAGAGCUUGCUCUUACGGGUGGCGAGUGGCGGACGGGUGAGGAAUACAUCGGAAUCUACUUUUUCGUGGGGGAUAACGUAGGGAAACUUACGCUAAUACCGCAUACGACCUACGGGUGAAAGCAGGGGAUCUUCGGACCUUGCGCGAUUGAAUGAGCCGAUGUCGGAUUAGCUAGUUGGCGGGGUAAAGGCCCACCAAGGCGACGAUCCGUAGCUGGUCUGAGAGGAUGAUCAGCGACACUGGAACUGAGACACGGACCAGACUCCUACGGGAGGCAGCAGUGGGGAAUAUUGGACAGUGGGCGCAAGCCUGAUCCAGCCAUACCGCGUGGGUGAAGAAGGCCUUCGGGUUGUAAAGCCCUUUUGUUGGGAAAGAAAAGCAGCAGGUUAAUACCCCGCUGUUCUGACGGUACCCAAAGAAUAAGCACCGGCUAACUUCGUG